GCCAAGCAUGGUGGUGCUUGCCUGUAAUUCCAGCAACUUGGGAGACUGAGGCAGGAGGAUCACAAGUUUGAGACCAGCCUCAGCAAUUGAGUGAGGCCAGAAGCAACUUAGUGAGACCCUGUCUCAA
This 127-nucleotide small RNA is filed under the name Marmota monax (woodchuck). Lineage: Eukaryota; Metazoa; Chordata; Mammalia; Rodentia; Sciuridae. The record is from RNAcentral.